UACAGAGGGUGCAAGCGUUAAUCGGAAUUAUUGGGCGUAAAGGGCCUGUAGGUGGUUUUAUCAGUUUGAUGUGAAAGCCCUGGGCUUAACCUGGGAAUGGCGUUAAAUACGGUAAGACUGGAGUCGGAGAGAGGGUAGCGGAAUUUCCGGUGUAGCGGUGAAAUGCGUAGAGAUCGGAAAGAACAUCAGUGGCGAAGGCGGCUACCUGGUUCCAGACUGACACUGAGGGGCGAAAGCGUGGGGAGCAAAC
This 250-nucleotide ribosomal RNA is filed under the name uncultured bacterium. RNAcentral's name for it is "partial 16S ribosomal RNA". It matches the Rfam family "Bacterial small subunit ribosomal RNA", at positions 524 to 773 of the family's 1533-position model. The record is from RNAcentral.